GACGAACGCUGGCGGCGUGCUUAACACAUGCAAGUCGAGCGGUAAGGCCCUUUCGGGGGUACGACGAGCGGCGAACGGGUGAGUAACACGUGGGUGACCUGCCCUCAGCUCUGGGAUAAGCCUGGGAAACUGGGUCUAAUACUGGAUAUGACUCCACGGUGAAUGUCGUGGGGUGGAAAGCCUUGUGCGGCUGAGGAUGGGCCCGCGGCCUAUCAGCUUGUUGGUGGGGUGAUGGCCUACCAAGGCGACGACGGGUAGCCGGCCUGAGAGGGCGACCGGCCACACUGGGACUGAGACACGGCCCAGACUCCUACGGGAGGCAGCAGUGGGGAAUCUUGCGCAAUGGGCGAAAGCCUGACGCAGCGACGCCGCGUGAGGGAUGACGGCCU
Molecule: ribosomal RNA, 389 nt
Filed under: uncultured bacterium
Lineage: Bacteria
Description: bacterial SSU rRNA
Rfam family: Bacterial small subunit ribosomal RNA
Source: RNAcentral